GCGAGAGAGAGGAAAGGAGAGCGAGAGGAAAGGAGCGAGAGGAAAGGAGAGCGAGAGGAAAGGAGAGAGAGAGAGGGGAGGGUAGAGAGAGAGGAAAGGAGAGCGAGAGAGAGGAAGGUAGAGCGAGAGGAAAGGAGAGCGAGAGAGGGGAUGGUAGAGAGAGAGAGGAAAGGAGAGCGAGAGAGAGGAAAGGAGAGCGAGAGAGGGGAGGGUAGAGAGAGAGGGUAGGGUAGAGAGAGAGAGGGGAGGGUAGAGAGAGAGGAAAGGAGAGCGAGAGAGAGGAAAGGAGAGCGAGAGAGGGGAGGGUAGAGAGAGAGGGUAGGGUAGAGAGAGAGGGGAGGGAAGAGAGAGAGGAAAGGAGAGCGAGAGAGAGGAAGGUAGAGCGAGAGGAAAGGAGAGCGAGAGAGGGAGGGGUAGAGAGAGAGAGGAAAGGAGAGCGAGAGAGAGGAAAGGAGAGCGAGAGAGGGGAGGGUAGAGAGAGAGGGGAGGGUAGAGAGAGAGGGGAGGGUAGAGAGAGAGAGGAAAGGAGAGUGAGAGCGAGAGAGAGGAAGGUAGAGAUAGAGGGGAGGGUAGAGAGAGAGAGAGGGAGGGUAGAGAGAGAGAGAGGGGAGGGUAGAGAGAGAGAGAGGGGAGGGUAGAGAGAGAGAGAGGGGAGGGUAGAAAGAGAGAGGGGAGGAUAGAGAGAGAGGGGAAAGGAGAGGAGAGAGAGGAAG
This is a long non-coding RNA of Oncorhynchus tshawytscha (Chinook salmon), 713 nucleotides long. The record is from Ensembl. Lineage: Eukaryota; Metazoa; Chordata; Actinopteri; Salmoniformes; Salmonidae.